AUUGAACGCUGGCGGCAUGCCUUACACAUGCAAGUCGAACGGCAGCACGGGGCAACCUGGUGGCGAGUGGCGAACGGGUGAGUAAUGCAUCGGAACGUACCUUUCAGUGGGGGAUAACGUAGCGAAAGUUACGCUAAUACCGCAUAUUCUGUGAGCAGGAAAGCAGGGGAUCGCAAGACCCUGCGCUGAUUGAGCGGCCGAUGUCAGAUUAGCUAGUUGGUGAGGGAAAGGCUCACCAAUGCGACGAUCUGUAGCGGGUCUGAGAGGAGGAUCCGCCACACUGGAAGUGAGACACGGUCCAGACUCCUACGGGAGGCAGCAGUGGUGAAUUUUGGACAAUGGGGGCAACCGUGAUCCAGCCAUGCCGCGUGAGUGAAGAAGGCCUUCGGGUUGUAAAGCUCUUUCGGCCGGGAAGAAAUCGCACGGGCUAAUACCCUGUGUGGAUGACGGUACCGGAAUAAGAAGCACCGGCUAACUACGUGCCAGCAGCCGCGGUAA
Molecule: ribosomal RNA, 498 nt
Filed under: uncultured bacterium
Lineage: Bacteria
Description: partial 16S ribosomal RNA
Rfam family: Bacterial small subunit ribosomal RNA
Source: RNAcentral